GGCGCGAAACCUUCGCAAUGCGCGAAAGCGUGACGAGGUUACUUCGAGUGCUACCCGCUGAGGGUGGCUUUUCCCAAGUCUAAAAAGUUUGGGGAAUAAGGGGAGGGUAAGUCUGGUGUCAGCCGCCGCGGUAAUACCAGCUCCCCGAGUGGUCGGGACGUUUAUUGGGCCUAAAGCAUCCGUAGCCGGUCUUGUAGGUCUCCUGUUAAACCCAACGGCCCAACCGUUGGACUGCAGAAGAUACCGCAGGACUAGGAGGCGGGAGAGGCGGACGGUACUCAAUGGGUAGUGGUAAAAUAUUCUGAUCCAUUGAAGACCACCAGUGGCGAAGGCGGUCCGCCAGAACGCGCUCGACGGUGAGGGAUGAAAGCUGGGGGAGCGAACCGGAUUAGAUACCCCGGUAGUCC
This 407-nucleotide ribosomal RNA is filed under the name uncultured bacterium. RNAcentral's name for it is "bacterial SSU rRNA". It matches the Rfam family "Archaeal small subunit ribosomal RNA", at positions 338 to 747 of the family's 1478-position model. The record is from RNAcentral.